RNAcentral lists this ribosomal RNA (492 nucleotides) under uncultured bacterium. RNAcentral describes it as "partial 16S ribosomal RNA". It matches the Rfam family "Bacterial small subunit ribosomal RNA", at positions 29 to 507 of the family's 1533-position model. The record is from RNAcentral.
AGUGAACGCUGGCGGUAGGCCUAACACAUGCAAGUCGAACGGCAGCACAGUAAGAGCUUGCUCUUACGGGUGGCGAGUGGCGGACGGGUGAGGAAUACAUCGGAAUCUACUUUUUCGUGGGGGAUAACGUAGGGAAACUUACGCUAAUACCGCAUACGACCUACGGGUGAAAGAAGGGGAUCUUCGGACCUUGCGCGAUUGAAUGAGCCGAUGUCGGAUUAGCUAGUUGGCGGGGUAAAGGCCCACCAAGGCGACGAUCCGUAGCUGGUCUGAGAGGAUGAUCGGCCACACUGGAACUGAGACACGGUCCAGACUCCUACGGGAGGCAGCAGUGGGGAAUAUUGGACAAUGGGCGCAAGCCUGAUCCAGCCAUACCGCGUGGGUGAAGAAGGCCUUCGGGUUGUAAAGCCCUUUUGUUGGGAAAGAAAAGCAGCAGGUUAAUACCCCGCUGUUCUGACGGUACCCAAAGAAUAAGCACCGGCUAACUUCGUG